Chenopodium quinoa (quinoa) is the source of this 1685-nucleotide long non-coding RNA. RefSeq lists it as uncharacterized. The transcript is spliced from 5 exons. The record is from RefSeq and is a predicted model, not a curated record. NCBI's taxonomy places the organism in Eukaryota, Viridiplantae, Streptophyta, Magnoliopsida, Caryophyllales, Amaranthaceae.
UUAUCUCUCUCUCCUCAACAUCAUCUCUUCAUUUUCUCAGAUCUCAGCAUCUUUUACUCUCUCUAGAACUUUCUCUGUUUCUCUCUGUAGAAGAAGAAGAAGUUAGCUUGAGCAGCAGAAAUGGCUAUAGGUAGAUCAACAAGCAGCAACCCGCCCAAGCAGAGGAAGAGAGUUGAAGCUGAGUCUCCAGAUGUUGAGUCUUCGCCUUCUGCUACUCUUCUCUUAAUUGUGCUAAGGAUGGCAACGCUUUCUCUCGCUGUGAGGAAUGCAACAACAUGUGCCAAUAGCUCUUAUUGAUAUGCACAACUGCAGCAUUGAGGCGAAAAUCAAGAUGAGCCUUGGGAAGAGAAGAGCCUUGAUUUCGCCAUCAACAGGAUAUGUAAAUGAAAGUUCGAAACCCAUCCUAGAGGAGUUUGGCCCUCGACGUAGCCUUCUGUCCUAUGCAAAUGAGCCUUUGAUCUUUGAGGUGUAGCUUUUGAAAAUAUUGUAAUGCCCUUUAUAUGCUUCGGUUUUCACAUGUUGCUUGGCGUGCAUUCAGAUAAGUUGUCACAUCUUCUGUAAUUAUGAAAUUGAUUUAUAUGAAGCCAUUUCUUGAUUUAUUGAAGCUCUUAAUCUAGAUCAAUUAUGCCUGCUGGAUGAUACCCUCUUUGCAUAUGAAUAUAUGUUAUAGGUCUCCCCUGUUUUUGUUGGCUUUGUGAUUUAUGAUAUAUGAACCGUUGAUAGGAGACAUAAGGAACAUAUAUCAAUUCUAAUUAUAAUGCCUUGUGAGCAUAACCUGUUAUUGAAUUUAUGAGUAACCUCAAGAUGCAAUAAAAAAAGAACGGAGGAAGUAUGUUCUUGUGUAAUUGUAUGUGAAUAGUGCACAUUGUAGAAAUGUUGUUAACAUCUUUAAUUGGUGUAUUUGCAAUCAUAAGCUUGGCUUCUACUCAUCUAGUGCCGUAAUAGCAGAUCAAUGCUGUCAUUAAAUCACUUGAAUUCUUAAUACUGAUUACAUGACCAUACUAUACAAUUUACUGACAUGUCUUUCAUACAAUGAGUGUUAAUGGAAUGAACUGAGCAUAAUAUAUGACGUUAAAUCCUCGAUAUGCAGCAAUAGGAUAAUGAUAGACCCUUUGUUUUUGCAUAAGCUUAUGUUUGAGCAGUUUCCCUCUUUUUCACUGUAGCUUUCAGGUUUGUUUUACCAGCACUUCCUCCUCCCCUCUCCCUCCCAUUAAUAUGAAUUGACGAAUUUUCAAGCAUUUAUAAUCUUUGUCCUUCCCAUUCUGGUUAACUGCAUAUCUAUAAUGUUUUAUACAAUUUUAGUAAAUUAAGUAUAUCAAAAUACAUGCUCAUAUAACAGUUUUAGUAAUACUGUUGGCUUGUUCCUAGCAGCCAUUGCUAUUCUUCAGAGAAGCCAAGAACGAACAUCAAGCACAACAAAACAACAAAAAUGACCAACAACAGCAGUAGCCACCAACAGAACCAGCAAGGUUUUUGAAGUCAAGAAUUGCAUAGAAGAAUCGAAGGAAGCACGAUAGAAGAUUCGAAGAAAGCGAGGUGCGCGGACGCGCAAACCUUGUACGCGCCCGCGCACUGGAGGAAAAUUUCAGAAGCGUAGGCAGAACCUUUGCACGGGGGGUUGCGCUGCCUGUACCCGGGCGCGCAACCCAGCAGCAUAAGUUGUGCAUACCCACAAAAACGUGGCG